UACGAAGGGGGCUAGCGUUGCUCGGAUUGACUGGGCGUAAAGGGCGCGUAGGCGGUUCGUACAGUCAGACGUGAAAUUCCUGGGCUCAACCUGGGGGCUGCGUUUGAUACGUGCGGGCUUGAGUGCGGAAGAGGGUCGUGGAAUUCCCAGUGUAGAGGUGAAAUUCGUAGAUAUUGGGAAGAACACCGGUGGCGAAGGCGGCGACCUGGUCCGAUACUGACGCUGAGGAGCGAAAGCGUGGGGAGCGAACAGG
This 253-nucleotide ribosomal RNA is filed under the name uncultured bacterium. RNAcentral's name for it is "partial 16S ribosomal RNA". It matches the Rfam family "Bacterial small subunit ribosomal RNA", at positions 524 to 776 of the family's 1533-position model. The record is from RNAcentral.